CCAGUCAGUAUCUCUUUUGUCGUAUUAGUUAAUUAUCAAUCUGAUUAUUGAAUAUUGAUGACUUACAAGAAUUUCACUAUGUUAUAAUUGUCAGGGUGACUGGAAUGGUGCUGGUGCUCACACAAAUUACAGGUUUGUAAUUCUCCAAAUGCCAUUGCACAUCCUUAUUGAACUUCAGAGAGAAAUCUCUAAUGAUCUGAAUUGAAUGUGAUGUUCUGUAUGUAACAGCACCAAGUCAAUGAGAGAAGAUGGCGGAUAUGAGGUGAUAAAGAAAGCAAUUGAGAAAAUGGGUUUGCGACACAAGGAACACAUUGCUGCAUACGGAGAGGGUAAUGAAAGAAGACUCACCGGACGUCAUGAAACAGCAGACAUCAACACAUUCUCUUGGGUAAGUCUGAAUGAAUGAAUGAAUGAAUGAAUGAAUGAAUGAAUGAAUGACCAACUUUCUGCUAUUGUUGUUUCUAAACAAGCAUUAUUUUCAUUGCAGGGAGUUGCUAACCGUGGUGCUUCAAUCCGUGUUGGUCGUGAUACUGAAAAGGACAGAAAAGGUAACAAACGGCCCCUCUCCUAAACAUAGGCAGGCAGAUGUAUCGAAUUAACAUGUAAUCAAUCAUUGUGUUUUGUUCUGCAGGAUACUUUGAGGACAGGAGGCCAUCGUCCAACAUGGACCCUUACGUAGUCACAUCCAUGGUCGCAGAGACCACUCUUCUCUUGCCUUGAAAGAAACCUUGCAACAGUGGAGCAAUCUUCACUCUACUCCACUUUAAUAAAUGUGAUGUAUUCAGAAUUUCAGACUGCUACUCUAUUUGCGAAUAUUGCAAUCAUACUCACUGAUUUAUUGCUUGCUAUUGC
RNAcentral lists this long non-coding RNA (852 nucleotides) under Zostera marina. RNAcentral describes it as "long non-coding RNA (ZMAR_LNC001173)". The record is from RNAcentral. Lineage: Eukaryota; Viridiplantae; Streptophyta; Magnoliopsida; Alismatales; Zosteraceae.